CUGUGGAUGUACUACAUUCCUUCUCUUAUGUUUUUUGUUGUUUUUGCUCCUUUAAAAAGGGAGCUUGAUCAGGUAUCAGACAUAGAGAAAACCUGGCAGUAUUACAGGAAAGUGGCUAGACUUGGAGUGUUUGUGUACUUAAAGAAGGAAUCUUGCACAUUUUCAACUUUCAGUCGUAGACAUUUUCUUAUAAGAGCAAGUAGGAAGCUGUGCCAGCCCUCAAAGCGGAAAUCAAAGCUCCCAGGGAAACAUACCAGAGGAAUGUGAUUUAGAGCCAAGACCCAUACGCAAUGCAUACACUGAACUGUCAGAUUUAUGGGAAGCCCGGCUGUACAUGGGCAUCUGGACAGUUAGCGAUUUGUCCUAAUGGGGGUUUCUGAUGUUUGCAGUAUGUCUCAGCUUCGAUCAUGUAAAUUAAUUCCAUCAAAAGAAAAAAAAAAAAAGGUAAGCCAGAGGCUUUUUGAAAAACAGCAAUAAAUGUUAUCCCAAAAUCUUCAGGGACCUUGGGUUGGCUUAGUUUGCCUUAUAUUUGCUUAAGAUGAAGGUUAAAGAGAGGGCAACACUUGCUGGGAUUUCAGAGGUGGGAAAGAAGUGCGGAUGUUUACUAUUUAAAUUACAUUCAUUUCCUUCAUGCUUUUUCCUCCUUAAAUUAGUCCCCUGUAAAGUAUUUUUCUGAUGCAAAGGUAUGUAUCAGAAGGUAGUCAGUGCUGUUUCAUGUGGUCUGUUUUAUGUUUGCGUGUUCAUUUACUUGCUUGUAGAUGGAGUUGAGGGUGAGGAAGGCAAAGAAGUAAAGGAACUUAACAUGCUAUGUUUACUUCAGUUUUCUGCUUGUCUCACUUUAUGUUACCAGUUUACUUAGAAUUUUGUUACCACUAGUCUGUUUUUACUCAGAGAUGGUGCUGAAGACAUAGAUAUUAUUACAGAUGAAGAUGAUGUCCAACACUUUGCUGACAGAUGAGUGAUUCAUAUUUAUUACAAUUUAGUAACCACAAGUACUUACAAACCUUUUAUUUAUCAACCAGAUGAAGAGCCCUCUUAACUUGGCAGUUGUAUUUGGAAAUGGAAAAGUAGGGGAGGCAAGCAUUCUUUCAAAUAAGUAGCUUGAAGGGACCAAAUCAAAAGGUUUAAGAGGAAGAGAGGCAUCAGGGAAGAUAAUUCCACUAGUUAAAGCAUCAGACUUUCAUAUCUGAGGUUUCUGGUUCAAUCCCUAGAACCACAUGUAUUGGGGAUAAUUUGAUUUGUCCUUCUCUCCUCUCGGCCUCAAGUGAAAUUUUCUUUAUGUGUAAUAAAAUCUUAAACACAAAAACAAAACUUUUAAUGUUUAAAAAGGGGGGAGAGAAUGGAGACUCUCUAUAGAUGAUGUAUUUCACAGGAUGGGAGUAAAUGAGAGGGUAAGUAUUUAUGAAAGAGUUAGUGUAAAAAUAUGAAUGAAUGUGUCCUUAGAGAUUCUAUAGGAUGGGUGGCUGAGAGGCAAAUUAAAUUAGGCUUCAUCAUUUUAUCCUUUGAAAAAUGUCCCCACCACCUUCCAAGAAACCUGAGAUUAUUUAUAAUUUUAGGGAUCCCUAGAAUACUUAUUAAACCCUUAGGUAUGACCCGGAAGACUGUAUAGUAGGCUGGAGGUGUGCAUUCCGUUCCUGCUAUUUUUCUGCCAUUUGAUCAUGGGAAAGACAAUAAUCUGAGUCCCAGAUUUCCUCACUAACCAUGUUAUCUUUCAACCCAAGGAAACAAUUAUUUCUCAAAGUACUUUUCCAUAAUGUAUUAGACUUUUCCAUUUUCCUAGCCUGUUCUUCAAAAGUUCUUCUUUGCCUUCCUUAGUCUAAAGAGACUAAGUCCUACUCAACCUUGAUUUUAAAGGUCCAAUGCAGUCUGACUUUAUGACACCAUUCAUCUUUGAAGGAAUUGAUGAUACAAUUCAUCUUUUUUUUUUUUUUGUAGUUGCCACCAGGACUAUCACUAGAUCUCUGUGUUUGCUCCUGGCGGCCUUCCCCACACCACCUUUUUCUUUUCCUUCCCCAUUUUUGAUAGGACGGAGAGAAAUUGAGAAGGAGAUAGAUAGAUAGAUAGAUAGAUAGAUAGGUAGAUAGAUAGAUACCUGCAACCUUGCUUCACUACUGCUGAAGUCCCCCCUGCAGGUAGAGGAGGGGCAGUUUGAACCCAGGAACUUAAACAUGGGAACUUGUGCACUCAGCUGAGUCCACUACCAUCCCGUCCUGAUGCCGUUCAUCUUUGUAAGACUUUUUAGUGUUGAAGCUCUGAGAACUUAGAGGAAUUCAAAUCCUACUUCUUCUUCUUCCUCUUUUAAUAUACUUUAUUUUUAUUUAUUUUGGAUAGAGACAGAAAGAAAUUGAGAGGGAAGGAGUAGAUAGAAAGGGUGGGAAAAAGAGAACCUACAACACUGCUUCAUCACUUAAGAAGUUUCCCUCCUGCAGGUGAGGACCAGGAGCUUGAAUCCGGAUCCUUACACACUGUAAUGUGUGCACUCAACCAGGCUUACUGAUUUCUCCUUUUCCCCCUUCUAUGGAAUGGUUGAUUUGAAAUAUGAGGAAAAAAGUGUCUGUGAGAAAGAGGGAGAGAUACCACAUUGCUGGAGCUUCUCUCAGUGCCACAGAACCUCCCAUGGGUGGUAUUGAAGCUAGAAACUGGUAAGCGUUCCUGGCAAGUCACAAGGCCUACCUAGUGAGUUUUUUGUUUUUUUGUUUUUUUCUGAAUACCUGUAUUUUCAAUGCAACUAUUAAUAUUUCCUAA
This is a long non-coding RNA of Erinaceus europaeus (western European hedgehog), 2745 nucleotides long. RefSeq lists it as uncharacterized. The record is from RefSeq and is a predicted model, not a curated record. The transcript is spliced from 3 exons. NCBI's taxonomy places the organism in Eukaryota, Metazoa, Chordata, Mammalia, Eulipotyphla, Erinaceidae.